AUAAAAAAACAUGUUAAGAAAAGGUUGCUUGAGAAGGGCUCUUCAAAGCAGCAGCAUCUUGCAUUCUUCUCGCGUUCUCGCAGAUCUAAAAAUAGCCUCGACUCUUCACGCUCGCUCGGAUCCAACGGAAGCCGUCGGCGACACGUUGAACCAGAACUCUCACAACAAACAACGAGCGGCCGCCAGAUGUGUUUAAGCUGCAUUUGAGACCCGUCCAACCCUUCACACACACCCACCACCCCCCCCUCCCCCCGCACCUUUCCCCUCAUCCAACUUUCCUUCCCACUACAGACCUUCUCUGACAAAUUAAUGAUCAUGAAGUCACAGUUUCCCCCCUCGGCCUGCACAUUAGAUUUUAUUCACUCGGCUGCGAAUCCGUUUGGUGAUUAAACUGACGAGCAGCCGACGAGAGCAGCGAGGAGAGAAACGCUUCUAUUUAACUAAACAUCUUUCUGAGGAGUCUCCCCUCGGCUUCCCUCUGCUUCUGUGAGCGAACAAUGGGGGGUGUUUGCCCCGGACACGCUUCAGAGGUAGUCAAAACACUUGAGAACGUCCCUUUGAGGUUUGCUGAGCGGAGAGGUUCGAUCUUGGGGGGCAGAUAAGGAGCUUAUAAGGACCCCCCCCGAUGCUCCUUCGACUGGGUUGUGUGGCUGUAUGUUGUGUCUCCACGAAGGACACCCAACCCAGUGUUCGUCUUGUGUUUCCCUCCGCGUGGUCCCACCUCUCCUGCAGCCCUCUCUCAACCUUUAACCCCCACCCAGGCACAGCUCGAUUGUGCUGAUGUCAUGAUAUCCGUGCACCGCUUUAACUACGUCAGCCUCUGACUCAGACGACGACAGCUGUGCGCGUGACUGAACAUCUGCAUCGGGCGUCGCGUGUCUCACGGAAGGACUUUGACACUCGUACCUGUUAAUUAACGCGCAAAGACGAGACGUUGCACACGCAGAGCAGGUGAUGCCGUCAGCCACACUUUGUCACCAGGGCGAUCACCUCCGGAUGGCGGAGGAAUCCCAUCCUGAAUCACAAAGUUAUGCUAAGCUAAUGCUGCUCUCAAGAGCCAGGUUGGAAUUUAUUUAAUAGCCACAUGCAAAUUGAGGUAAUAGUCGUAUUUACGGCUAAAAAGUGCUCUUCAAAGAACAAACUUUGAGAAGUUUGAAUCCUGAUAUUUUGCUAAAAGUCUGUUGCAUAAAGCGGCCGCGGCACCAUGACGCCUUUCUGCGUGUAGAGAGUCUGUUCAUCUCUGCAGAAGCACGACGCUCUGACCUGCAUCGGUUCCAUUUCCCACACUGGCUGGAAGUAAAAGGUCGUGACCUGUGGUAUUUUUACUCGCGGCCCCUCACCGUUAUCGUGGGGCCCUAUUUCAGGCUCCUUAUAAAUCCUGUUGAUCCGACACACCUUCAGGAGCACAAAUCCACCGCCCCGCUCCCCGUGUCCGCAGUCACAUUAUCUGUUCAUUGUUUUUGGAUUCAACACUUUCAUCAAACGCUGAUUGUUUCCAAACUAAAAAACGUUUUUUCUUUUAUUAGGGAAGCCAAAUUAAGAAUGGGAUCUACUGUCCUCGUCAUCGGACCAACCGGCUGCCGUGAGUUUGUUUUCCUCUGAAUCCCACAGGCGUGUUUGUUGUGUUUGUCCACCAUAAAGUGACGUCUGUCUGCCGAGUGGAAGACGACACCUUAUCAAGCUGUAGGGAAAUUACCCCCCCCCCAUAAAACAGUUGUUUUAUUUCAGAUGUUAGAGAACAACUGGACUGUUUCUGAGGUGGAGGUGAUGUCUUCAUGUAGUUAGAAUGCUUUAAAGUGCACAGACACGCCAUUUCUGUCAGGUUUUAAUUGUAUGUGGAUUAUUUUUCAUGCCCCGUUGUUUGUUUAGUCAAAUGUGUCGUUGCCUUUAAUCCUAUUCCUUUGCAUGCUCUUCGUGGGGUGUUGGCAGACUUUCAGUGCGGC
Long non-coding RNA from Gasterosteus aculeatus aculeatus (three-spined stickleback), 1943 nucleotides. NCBI's taxonomy places the organism in Eukaryota, Metazoa, Chordata, Actinopteri, Perciformes, Gasterosteidae. The record is from Ensembl.